This 199-nucleotide long non-coding RNA is filed under the name Elaeis guineensis (African oil palm). Its description in RNAcentral is "long non-coding RNA (EGUI_LNC034750)". Lineage: Eukaryota; Viridiplantae; Streptophyta; Magnoliopsida; Arecales; Arecaceae. The record is from RNAcentral.
AUCAGGACGAAGUUACACGGCCACAACUUGCACAAAAUCCCAUAAGCUCGAGAAAAAAAUAGCUGUUAGAAACUUUUUUAAAAUAAAAUAGGAUGUUUUGCAGAACUAGCCAUUUGAACUAUCAAAGACUCAGGAGUUGACUCAUAAAAGUCUAAGAGUUGACUCAUGAACGUCCAAGAGUCGACUCACAUAGAGUAUU